CUCAACUGAUUGUGUACAAAAAUUUGCAGGAAAGGAGCCGAUCGUUCGUAACUUUAGUGAAUGUUCCCCAGAGGCAGAUGAUUCUCAUAAGUCUAUAAGAGAGGUAGAGCUGGUACACCAAAGAAGCUAGCAGUUCCUAACUCUUCAAUGAAACAGGCAUCCAGAAGUGUGUGCUCAACAACCGGGAUCACUAGAUUGUGGCUACUACGUCAUGCGUUUUAUGUACGACAUAAUAAUGAAUCAUGGUAAUAGUCAAGAUCUUACUAAGGAUUUUUCAAGAACAUUGCCUUAUUCACCGGAGGAGAUUAAUGAGGUGAAAGAUUUUUGGGCAGAUUACUUCAUGAACAAUGUCGAAUUUUUAGCUUAAUUUGUAAUAUGAACUCGAUCUCUAGCUAGCUACGUACCUUUUGUAAUAAUUUUAUGUUUGUUGUAACAUGUUGGUUGAUCUAUGACGAAUUUAAUUGCCUUUUAUUGGGAACGUUAA
Spinacia oleracea (spinach) is the source of this 484-nucleotide long non-coding RNA. RefSeq lists it as uncharacterized. The record is from RefSeq and is a predicted model, not a curated record. Lineage: Eukaryota; Viridiplantae; Streptophyta; Magnoliopsida; Caryophyllales; Amaranthaceae. The transcript has 3 exons.